Molecule: long non-coding RNA, 909 nt
Organism: Oxyura jamaicensis (ruddy duck)
Lineage: Eukaryota; Metazoa; Chordata; Aves; Anseriformes; Anatidae
Exons: 2
Source: RefSeq, a predicted model, not a curated record
UGUUUGUUUUGAUUUGUGUAUUAUUUUUCUUUUGUGAUGGAAGGUGUUUUUUUUUUUUUCUUGGAUUCAGUUUUAACUCACACCUAAUUGUCAUGCUGAUAAAGUAAGAAAGAGAUAAUCUUCGUACAUUAGUUACCUUCUGUGGCUUGUGAUUUGCAACAGAAAUUAGAUGAAGGGAAAGAAGUCUUUAGAUUCAGAUCUUGAGAAACUGUGUGCCCCAUUCCUUACAUUCACCGAGAAGAUUUUUAUCUAACAGCAGGAUGGAAGACAUCACUGUGUAACUUCUCAUGUAUUCAUGUUUCAUUUGUGCUCUCAAAAGUUUAAACUGCCUACAAAAUAGAUGAUGAGUCUGGCUCUAGUUACAAGCAGUGGGAGGCUUUACCUUUAGCAGCCUUGAGGAGCUUACAGCAGAAACUUCUAUACCUGGUAGAAUGAAUUAUUGACAGUCAUCCUCCUACACAUGGCACAACUGGACAAAGGGAAUGCUCUGCUCAGUGUAAAACAGUGAGUAAAUAACAUACUGCUAGGCAGUACUGCAAAGAUUACCUGAUUAUGCCAGUCCCCCCAGAUCACCUGAUAGAGACUUGGAGAUUCAUAAAAAGGAAGGAAACAGAUCCCUCACUAGCCUAAAGGAGGGAGAGAAUAAUGGAUGAGGACAGAAAGAGAAAGCUGGUCUCUUUCUGCCAGAGGAGAAGGAUAUACAGAAGGGAUGAGGGCUCCUCAGUGACUCACAGAAACAAGGAAUGCUGAAGGCUGCUGAUGAAAAACUGAGUCAGGGAGUUUCAAACAUUUAUUCAUGUUCCAUGUGUUGUGCUGGAAAGAAUGGCUGUCUUUUGAAACCUUUAAAAAGUCUUAUAUUGUUGCUCCCAAGUGUCAAAAAGAAAAAAAAAAAAAAAAAAAAAAAAAAAA